GUGGCGAACGGGUGAGUAACACGUGAGCAAUCUGCCCCUGACUCUGGGAUAACAGUUGGAAACAGCUGCUAAUACCGGAUAUGAGACGUGACCGCAUGGUCGACGUUUGGAAAGAAUUUCGGUCAGGGAUGAGCUCGCGGCCUAUCAGCUUGUUGGUGAGGUAAUGGCUCACCAAGGCGUCGACGGGUAGCCGGCCUGAGAGGGUGACCGGCCACACUGGGACUGAGACACGGCCCAGACUCCUACGGGAGGCAGCAGUGGGGAAUAUUGCACAAUGGGCGAAAGCCUGAUGCAGCAACGCCGCGUGAGGGACGACGGCCUUCGGGUUGUAAACCUCUUUUAGCAGGGAAGAAGCGAAAGUGACGGUACCUGCAGAAAAAGCGCCGGCUAACUACGUGCCAGCAGCCGCGGUAAUACGUAGGGCGCAAGCGUUAUCCGGAAUUAUUGGGCGUAAAGAGCUCGUAGGCGGUUUGUCGCGUCUGCUGUGAAAAC
RNAcentral lists this ribosomal RNA (492 nucleotides) under Microbacteriaceae bacterium 2 b192. RNAcentral's name for it is "bacterial SSU rRNA". It matches the Rfam family "Bacterial small subunit ribosomal RNA", at positions 95 to 601 of the family's 1533-position model. The record is from RNAcentral. Lineage: Bacteria; Bacillati; Actinomycetota; Actinomycetes; Micrococcales; Microbacteriaceae.